GCUGAGCCGCAUAUUACAAUAAACUGAAUUAUUUCUAUAUAAAAAAAAGGUUUUCUAUUGUCCUAUUUCCCCCGGACUCGACUCGUGUUAUUUGAUUUCAGAAGUAAAGAACACUGGAGCUGUUUUACUUCCAACAAAAUGUUUGAAAGAAAGAUCUGCUCACUACUAUUAAAGCAGAGCAACAAAACAAAAUCUAUUUGUGUGCCGGCAAUAGGCACUAGGGAGGAUUGAUGUCGGACAAGCCAGUGUAGCGGUGGAAAAAAAAAGAUGCGCAAUCAAUAUUCGGACCGCAUCCGGACUCUGGGGGAACCCUAAUCUCUGGAUAAACGCUCAAAUAAACCGAGAGGAAAUGGCAAAUGAUACAUCGAAAUCUAAAGCACGAGCUCCACCCUGUCCAUGGUCUAAUUUCAAGCAGAAGACUUAGAGGGGAACGAUUUUAAGGCCUCCUUAAGGAUCGUAAUCUAUGACUGAAAACAAACUGACCCUUUAUUGCAGAUCCAUUUCGUACUGAGUUACCUGAGUGCAACGCGAUCAGUUACUGCCCCCCGUGUAAAGACGUGUUUAUUCCCUUCCUACAGCAACUUCGUAAAACCAGAAAGGUAUUUUAGCUGCCAGUAUUCCAUUUAGGGAAAGCUUGUAUUCUUAAUCGAUGCGGGUUUGAGAUGUGACGCAUUCCAGUAAAAUGUACUCAACUCAAACAAAUUAGUAUUUUAACUUUUGAAUGUUUCCCAAUAAUUAUCUCGCUCACUGACCUUUCUUUUUUCUGUGCAUCAUUACUCAAUACAGUUUCUGGUAAAAUUUGGGCACACAUGUCACAGUGUUCAAAGCGACUAAGAUCGCUGAUUAAACAAAUGGAACAAGUGGUGAAACGGAGGAUUUUUCUGAAAUUGGGAAACCGUUUUAUUCCGUGGUUACCCAGGAUAUCUUGGGUGAUGUAUUUCCAAUGAAAUCAUUGUCACAAUUCUCCAAGAAUUAUAUCCCCAAGACGAACGAGAGCAAAAUUGCUCUUGGACACUAUGUGCCCAGGCUUUGGAAUGGAUGGAAAAGGUAAUGGGAUGUUAAUGAAGAACCCCUAACGAUAAAUUGGUAAAUCUGACGUUUUCUAACAUUUCAAUUUAUUAACAAGGGGAUAUAAAUUCUAAUGCAUUUUCGAAGUUGACGUAGAAGGGCGGUGCCCUUUUGAACAUAUUAAGAAUAUUGGGUCAGCAUUUUUGAAACAAAGGAUAGUUCUACUCAUGCCAAAUACAUAUUUAACCUGAGAUUACAUUCCGGGUCCUCACUUAUUCUGUGCAUAGGGAUAUUUAGCAGCAUUUGUAUAGAAAUAUAUAUGGAAUCUAGAGUCG
Pristis pectinata (smalltooth sawfish) is the source of this 1343-nucleotide long non-coding RNA. RefSeq lists it as uncharacterized. The transcript is spliced from 3 exons. The record is from RefSeq and is a predicted model, not a curated record. NCBI's taxonomy places the organism in Eukaryota, Metazoa, Chordata, Chondrichthyes, Rhinopristiformes, Pristidae.